UUGAAAGGGAAACGAUUGAAGUCAGUCGUACCUGCGGGUAAUCAGCCUUUUGGGUGUGAUUCUGUGGAGUGUGAGGAGUUAAACGCCUUCAUGCCUGCAUAUUCGUGCACUUUGGGUGUACUUGCCCGUGUGGUUAGUUAACAUCAAUUUUGGUCGUCAUAAAAUGGCUGGAGGAAUGUAGCUUCGAUCUCGUAUUGAAGUGUUAUAGCCUCUGGUAGAUGUGGUGAUUGGGACUGAGGAUUGCAACGAAUACCCUUCGGGCUAUCCGUCUGACCUCUGAAGGUUACUUAGGUGCCGAAAGCUUGCUUACGGUUAUUUAAGUUGACAGUCAAAAGGCUAGAACGUGAUUAUAUUCGUUAAGGAUGUUGACGUA
Molecule: ribosomal RNA, 373 nt
Filed under: uncultured Glomeromycotina
Lineage: Eukaryota; Fungi; Glomeromycota
Description: LSU rRNA
Source: RNAcentral